ACGCUCGACACCUACGGGGGGCAGCAGUGGGGGAUAUUGCGCAAUGGGGGAAACCCUGACGCAGCAACGCCGCGUGAAGGACGAAGGUUUUCGGAUUGUAAACUUCUUUUGUUAGGGACGAAGAAAUGACGGUACCUGACGAAUAAGCUCCGGCUAACUACGUGUCAGCAGCCGCGGUAAUCUGAGCGGGCUGGCAAGGC
Molecule: ribosomal RNA, 200 nt
Filed under: uncultured bacterium
Lineage: Bacteria
Description: partial 16S ribosomal RNA
Rfam family: Bacterial small subunit ribosomal RNA
Source: RNAcentral